GUGGGUGUAGCGUACCUACUAGCCUACGACGGGUACGGGUUGUGAGAGCAAGAGCCCGGAGAUGGAUUCUGAGACACGAAUCCAGGCCCUACGGGGUGCAGCAGGCGCGAAAACUUUACAAUGCCGGCAACGGCGAUAAGGGAACCUCGAGUGCCAGGUUACAAAUCUGGCUGUCGUGAUGCCUAAAAAGCAUUGCAUAGCAAGGGCCGGGCAAGACCGGUGCCAGCCGCCGCGGUAACACCGGCGGCUCGAGUGGUAACCGUUAUUAUUGGGUCUAAAGGGUCUGUAGCCGGCCGGAUAAGUCUCUUGGGAAAUCCAGCAGCUCAACUGUUGGGCUUUCAGGAGAUACUGUCUGGCUCGAGGCCGGGAGAGGUGGGAGGUACUUCAGGGGUAGGGGUGAAAUCUUGUAAUCCUUGAAGGACCACCAGUGGCGAAGGCGUCUCACCAGAACGGACCUGACGGCAAGGGACGAAAGCUAGGGGCACGAACCGGAUUAGAUACCCGGGUAGUCCUAGCCGUAAACGAUACUCGCUAGGUGUCGGCCACGGUGCGGCCGUGGUCGGUGCCGUAGGGAAGCCGUGAAGCGAGCCACCUGGGAAGUACGGCCGCAAGGCUGAAACUUAAAGGAAUUGGCGGGGGAGCACCACAACGGGUGGAGCUUGCGGUUUAAUUGGAUUCAACGCCGGAAAUCUUACCGGGACCGACAGCAAUAUGAAGGCCAGGCUGAAGACUUUGCCGGAUUAGCUGAGAGGUGGUGCAUGGCCGUCGUCAGUUCGUACUGUGAAGCAUCCUGUUAAGUCGGGCAACGAGCGAGACCCACGCCCACAGUUGCCAGCGUACUCUCCGGAGUGACGGGUACACUGUGGGGACCGCCGCUGCUAAAGCGGAGGAAGGAAUGGGCAACGGUAGGUCAGUAUGCCCCGAAUAUCCCGGGCUACACGCGAGCUACAAUGGUUGGUACAAUGGGUAUCUACCCCGAAAGGGGAUGGAAAUCUCCUAAAACCAAUCUUAGUCCGGAUUGAGGGCUGCAACUCGCCCUCAUGAAGCUGGAAUCCGUAGUAAUCGCGUUUCAACAGAACGCGGUGAAUACGUCCCUGCUCCUUGCACACACCGCCCGUCAAACCACCCGAGUAGGGUCUGAAUGAGAGCGCUUCCUCUGGAGGCGUUCGAAUUUGGGCUUUGCAAGGGGGGUUAAGUCGUAACAAGGUA
Molecule: ribosomal RNA, 1209 nt
Filed under: metagenome
Description: bacterial SSU rRNA
Rfam family: Archaeal small subunit ribosomal RNA
Source: RNAcentral